This is a non-coding RNA of Gossypium raimondii (Peruvian cotton), 142 nucleotides long. The record is from Rfam. Lineage: Eukaryota; Viridiplantae; Streptophyta; Magnoliopsida; Malvales; Malvaceae.
UAGUAAAAAUUUCAUUCAUUUUACUGUUAAAAUUAACAUUACUGACAAAAUAAUCAAAUAGUUACACUACUGUGCCAUAUGUACCUCACUCUGACAUACAAGAACCAAUUUUUAACAGUAGAAAUGAAUGAAAUUUUUAACU